AUUGAACGCUGGCGGCAGGCCUAACACAUGCAAGUCGAACGGUAACAGGAAACAGCUUGCUGUUUCGCUGACGAGUGGCGGACGGGUGAGUAAUGUCUGGGAAACUGCCUGGUGGAGGGGGAUAACUACUGGAAACGGUAGCUAAUACCGCAUAACGUCGCAAGACCAAAGAGGGGGACCUUCGGGCCUCUUGCCAUCGGAUGUGCCCAGAUGGGAUUAGCUAGUAGGUGGGGUAACGGCUCACCUAGGCGACGAUCCCUAGCUGGUCUGGGAGGAUGACCAGCCACACUGGAACCGAGACACGGUCCAGACUCCUACGGGAGGCAGCAGUGGGGAAUAUUGCACAAUGGGCGCAAGCCUGAUGCAGCCAUGCCGCGUGUAUGAAGAAGGCCUUCGGGUUGUAAAGUACUUUCAGCGGGGAGGAAGGGAGUAAAGUUAAUACCUUUGCUCAUUGACGUUACCCGCAGAAGAAGCACCGGCUAACUACGUGCCAGCAGCCGCGGUAA
This 506-nucleotide ribosomal RNA is filed under the name uncultured bacterium. RNAcentral describes it as "partial 16S ribosomal RNA". It matches the Rfam family "Bacterial small subunit ribosomal RNA", at positions 30 to 523 of the family's 1533-position model. The record is from RNAcentral.